Molecule: ribosomal RNA, 411 nt
Filed under: Astacus astacus (noble crayfish)
Lineage: Eukaryota; Metazoa; Arthropoda; Malacostraca; Decapoda; Astacidae
Description: partial 16S ribosomal RNA
Rfam family: Archaeal large subunit ribosomal RNA
Source: RNAcentral
UAUUAUGACCGUGCUAAGGUAGCAUAAUCAUUAGUCUUUUAAUUGAAGGCUGGAAUGAAUGGUUGGACAAGAAAUAAGCUGUCUUAAAUAAAAAUAUUGAACUUAACUUUUAAGUGAAAAGGCUUAAAUUUUCUAAAGGGACGAUAAGACCCUAUAAAACUUUAUAUUUAAAAAUAAUUGCUAUUAUUAUUUAAAGAGUUUAUUUUUAAAUAUUUUAUUGGGGUGAUAAGGAUAAAAUAUAAGACAACUGUCUUUUAUUUUAACAAUAAUUUUUGAGUAAAUGAUCUUAAUAAGGAAUAAAAGAUUAAGUUACUUUAGGGAUAACAGCGUAAUUUUCUUUGAGAGUUCUUAUCGACAAGAAAGUUUGCGACCUCGAUGUUGAAUUAAAAGUUCUUUAUAGAGUAGAGACUA